Transfer RNA from Camelus ferus (Wild Bactrian camel), 72 nucleotides. It matches the Rfam family "tRNA". Rfam says of the family: Transfer RNA (tRNA) molecules are approximately 80 nucleotides in length. Their secondary structure includes four short double-helical elements and three loops (D, anti-codon, and T loops). Further hydrogen bonds mediate the characteristic L-shaped molecular structure. tRNAs have two regions of fundamental functional importance: the anti-codon, which is responsible for specific mRNA codon recognition, and the 3' end, to which the tRNAs corresponding amino acid is attached (by aminoacyl-tRNA synthetases). tRNAs cope with the degeneracy of the genetic code in two manners: having more than one tRNA (with a specific anti-codon) for a particular amino acid; and 'wobble' base-pairing, i.e. permitting non-standard base-pairing at the 3rd anti-codon position. The record is from Rfam. Lineage: Eukaryota; Metazoa; Chordata; Mammalia; Artiodactyla; Camelidae.
GAGGGUAUAGCUCAGUGGUUUAGCAUGUGCCUGUGAUACACAAGGUCCUGGGUUCAAUCCCCAGUACCUCCA